GAUGAACGCUGGCGGCGUGCUUAACACAUGCAAGUCGAACGGAAAGGCUCCUGCUUGCCGGGGCACUCGAGUGGCGAACGGGUGAGUAACACGUGGGUGAUCUGCCCUGCACUUCGGGAUAAGCCUGGGAAACUGGGUCUAAUACCGGAUAGGACCAUCGUUUAGUGUCGGUGGUGGAAAGUUUUUUCGGUGUGGGAUGAGCUCGCGGCCUAUCAGCUUGUUGGUGGGGUAAUGGCCUACCAAGGCGUCGACGGGUAGCCGGCCUGAGAGGGUGUACGGCCACAUUGGGACUGAGAUACGGCCCAGACUCCUACGGGAGGCAGCAGUGGGGAAUAUUGCACAAUGGGCGCAAGCCUGAUGCAGCGACGCCGCGUGGGGGAUGACGGCCUUCGGGUUGUAAACUCCUUUCGCCAGGGACGAAGCGAAAGUGACGGUACCUGGAUAAGAAGCACCGGCUAACUACGUG
Molecule: ribosomal RNA, 466 nt
Filed under: uncultured bacterium
Lineage: Bacteria
Description: partial 16S ribosomal RNA
Rfam family: Bacterial small subunit ribosomal RNA
Source: RNAcentral